AAACCAACAGGGAUUGCCCUAGUAACGGCGAGUGAAGCGGCAACAGCUCAAAUUUGAAAUCUGGCUCUCUUUGGGGGUCCGAGUUGUAAUUUGCAGAGGAUGCUUUGGCAUUGGCGGCGGUCUAAGUUCCUUGGAACAGGACAUCGCAGAGGGUGAGAAUCCCGUACGUGGGCGCCUGCCUUUGCCGUGUAAAGCUCCUUCGACGAGUCGAGUUGUUUGGGAAUGCAGCUCUAAAUGGGAGGUAAAUUUCUUCUAAAGCUAAAUACCGGCCAGAGACCGAUAGCGCACAAGUAGAGUGAUCGAAAGAUGAAAAGUACUUUGGAAAGAGAGUCAAAAAGCACGUGAAAUUGUUGAAAGGGAAGCGCUUGCAGCCAGACUUGCCCGCAGUUGCUCACCUAGGCUUUGGCCUGGGGCACUCUUCUGCGGGCAGGCCAGCAUCAGUUUGGGCGGUCGGACAAAGGCCUCUGUCAAGUAUCUCCCUUCGGGGUGACCUUAUAGGGGAGGCGUAAUGCGACCAGCCCGGACUGAGGUCCGCGC
Molecule: ribosomal RNA, 537 nt
Filed under: Microsphaeropsis sp. LSE10
Lineage: Eukaryota; Fungi; Ascomycota; Dothideomycetes; Pleosporales; Didymellaceae
Description: eukaryotic LSU rRNA
Rfam family: Eukaryotic large subunit ribosomal RNA
Source: RNAcentral